This 1317-nucleotide long non-coding RNA is filed under the name Capsicum annuum. Its description in RNAcentral is "long non-coding RNA (CANN_LNC010737)". Lineage: Eukaryota; Viridiplantae; Streptophyta; Magnoliopsida; Solanales; Solanaceae. The record is from RNAcentral.
AGUAAAUACCAAAAUAUAUAUUUUUUUCCCUUAAAUAUAAAUAACAAUUUAUCCUAUUGUAAUCCAAGAUUAUGCAAACCCCCUCACCACAAAAAAUAAAUUCAUAAGAAUUUUCCACGUUAACACCUUUUCCAAACUUCAAAAAAAAUCCCAACUUGGCAACUAUAUAAUAUCAUAUCAGAAAAAAAAAACUGCAUAAGUCCCUCAUCUAAGUGGACAAAAUUGUCCCAUAUAUAUGCUGGUACGAGAUGACACAUGCCUCAAAAUUAAUCGAUGUGUGCAAAUUGACUCAAAACACUACGAAUAUAGAAAAGAACACUGCAAGAAUUCUUAAUAUCAGGUCUACAAAGUUAUCCUAUACAUGUGCUGGUAUGACAUAACACGUGCCUCAAAAUUAAUCGAUCUGCAUAUAAACCGACUCAAACACUAGGAAUAUAGAAAGAAACAGUGCAAGAAUUCCUAAUAUCAGGUCUACAAAGUUAUCCUAUGCAUAUGCUGGUAUCUCAAGAUUAAUCGAGGUUCAUGCAGACUGACUCAAACACUAGGAGUAUACAUGUGCUGGUACGAGAUAACACGUGCCUCAAAAUUAAUCAAGUUACACACAAACUGACACUAUGAAUAUAUAAAAAACACUGCAAGAAUUUCUAAUAUCAUGUGUACAAAGUUAUCCUAUACAUGUGCUAGUGUGAGGUAACACAUGCCUCAAAAUUAAUCGAAAUGUGCACAAACUGACUCAAACACUAUAAUUAUAGAAAAGAACACUACAAUAAUUUCUAAUAUCACGUGUACAAAGUUAUCCUAUACAUAUGCAGGUAUGAGAUAACACGUGUCUCAAAAUUAAUCAAGGUACGCACAAACUGACACUAUGAAUAUAUAAAAAAACACGAAAAAAAUUCUCCUAUACAUGUGUUGAUAUGAGAUAACACAUGCCUCAAAAUUAACCAAGAUACGCACAAACUACACACUAAAUAUAUAUAUAAAAAAAAAGACUACAAGAUUCCUACUAUUAGGUAUGUGCUGGUAUAAAAUAACACGUGUCUCAAAAUUAAUCAAGGCGAACACUACGAAUACAGAAAAGAACACUGCAAGAAUUCCUAAUAUAAGGUUUACAAAGUUAUUCUAUACAUAUGCUGGUAUGAUAUAACACGUACCUCAAAAUUAAUCGAGGUGCAUAUCAACUGACUCAAACACUAGGAAUACAGUAAGAAACACUGCAAGAAUUCCUAAUAUCAAGUAUAACUUAAGUGCGAGAUAAAUUAAUCGAUAUAUACACAAACUGAUUCGAACACAACAAAUAAAUAUACAAAAAAAAAAAAA